CAAUCCUCCGUCGCUGAAG
This 19-nucleotide small nuclear RNA is filed under the name Arabidopsis thaliana (thale cress). RNAcentral's name for it is "snRNA_08141". Lineage: Eukaryota; Viridiplantae; Streptophyta; Magnoliopsida; Brassicales; Brassicaceae. The record is from RNAcentral.